CCUACGGGGGGCAGCAGUGGGGAAUAUUGCGCAAUGGGCGAAAGCCUGACGCAGCGACGCCGCGUGAGGGAUGAAGGUCUUCGGAUCGUAAACCUCUGUCAGCAGGGAAGAACGGUCACUGUGCUAAUCAGCAGUGAAUUGACGGUACCUGCAAAGGAAGCACCGGCUAACUCCGUGCCAGCAGCCGCGGUAAUACGGAGGGUGCGAGCGUUAAUCGGAAUUACUGGGCGUAAAGCGCUCGUAGGCGGUAUGUCAAGUCAAGGGUGAAAUCCCCGCGCUCAACGUGGGAACUGCCUUUAAAACUGGCAAACUGGGGUGUGUGAGAGGAUAGUGGAAUUCCAGGUGUAGGAGUGAAAUCCGUAGAUAUCUGGAGGAACAUCAGUGGCGAAGGCGACUAUCUGGCACAUAACUGACGCUGAGGAGCGAAAGCGUGGGUAGCAAACAGGAUUAGAUACCCUUGUAGUC
This 465-nucleotide ribosomal RNA is filed under the name uncultured bacterium. Its description in RNAcentral is "partial 16S ribosomal RNA". It matches the Rfam family "Bacterial small subunit ribosomal RNA", at positions 338 to 795 of the family's 1533-position model. The record is from RNAcentral.